UUUAUUUAUUUAAUCCAUUCAUUCAUGAAAGACACAGAGAGGCAGAGACACAGGCAGAGGGAGAAGCAGACUCCAUGCAGGGAGCCCAACGCAGGACUCGAUCCCAGGACCCCAGGAUCACGCCCUGGGCCAAAGGCAGGCACUAAACCACUGAGCCACCCAGGGAUCCUCUCUAUUUUGCAUUUAAGCACAAAUCAUUUGUAGUGUGGUUUUAAUAAAAUUUGAUGUUAUAGGAAUAUGACUAUGAUAUAAGUCAAAGGGAGAUUGUGCUUUAUUUCAUUCAGAAUUUUACCACGACUUGACACCAUCUCUGAGGAUCCUGUCAGCAGCCGUACCUGGUGGAGCCCAGCCACCAAGAGAACACACUGGGAACAGUCUGCAUUUAUAGCUCUUGAUUCACGGUGGUUUCAAGCAUACAUUUAAAUAUACCUUUUUAGUCUUUAUUCAAAAUGUUAAAUAUAAAAAGAUGAAUCGAAUUGAAGACUUUCUUGUACCUCUUAAAUUCCAGCAAACUCAUAAUCAGAUGACCACUUCAUUGUUUUUUAGCAUGGCUAUAACUGUGCAAUUCCAUAUGUGAAUGUUUCUUUUAUUUCUUCUUUGUAUUGCAGUCAAGCUGUGUGUGUGUGUGUGUGUGUGUGUGUGUUAGUUUUAAUUCUGUGUAUUACGGAUUAUAUUUUCUAUGGAUUUCAUUGAAGGGUAGUAAAGGAGAAUAACAAAAUAUUUAUCACAAAAGGGGCUUUGGGUCUCAUAGGUUUGAAAGCCAAGGCUCUACAGGUCUUCCUUCCAUGUGCAGCUAUCUCACCAUUUCUCCCUGUCUUCCCUACCCUAUUUCUGCCCCUUGCACAGGAAGGAAUGGGCAGUAACAAGAAAUGGUUAGAAGCUAGCGUGUGAAGAUUUUAUUCUGAUUAAUAAUUUUUAAAUAGACGGUUGUAAGUUGAGCAUUCUUAAAUGAUGUCAAUAUAAGUAAGCAUUGUCAAAAGUACAUAUUAAUUAUUUCAUUCAUUAAGUAUUACUAAGUACCUUACUAGUAAGGUACUAAUAAACAGUGUCUAAAUAGCACCAAAAUCAUUGCUGCUUUAAAGAAAAUCUCUUUCUGAAAACCAACCAACCAACAGGGAUUUAACAAGAAUAUUACAAUAGGUGACAAAACAAUUGCGUGAAAUUUUCAACUGGAUAUUUUGGAAGCACUUGCUAACUCUAACUCUAGGCAAGUUAGGUCUCAAUAAGCCAAAUCGGAAUACAUAUGCAAGAAAAAAAAAUAAAGCUAAAUCUUAAAAAGAAAUCACAUUAUGAGAGAUAAAGCAACUUUUUUUUAAUUUUUAUUUAUUUAUGAUAGUCACACACAGAGAGAGAGAGAGAGGCAGAGACACAGGCAGAGGGAGAAGCAGGCUCCAUGUAGGGAGCCUGAUGUGGGACUCGAUCCUGGGUCUUUAGGAUCAGGUCCUGGGCUGAAGGCAGCGCUAAACCACUGAGCUACCGGGCUGCCCCAUAAAGCAACUUUUUAGAAAAAAAAAUAUGACAAAUAAAAUGGGGAAAGACUCUCAUUAUAUCUCAAAUACACAUUUUUUUUAGAAUCGGAAUUACAUGACUGUGAAAUUAGUAUAUUUUUUAAAGCUCUUUGUAUGGCUGGAAUCAAACUCUUCAUGGUAAAUUUGGUAACAGAAUGAAAUACUCCUCUGCAGCUAUUAGAAACAAACUUUACUGUGGAGUUUUUUCCCUUUCCUCUGGCUGCUGGCUAAAAUCAAGUAUGGAAUAGCCAAAGGCAAAGCAGGCUAGGGAAGGGUGGCUAUGUGACUAGGAGCAGGUCGCCUGACUUCUCAAUGCCUGGGUUUCCUUAUAUGGUAGCACCAUAUUAAAUGAAUUAGUUCAUAUUAUGUGCUUAGAACAGUGUCCAACAUUUAUAGUAAGAGGCACAUAGCAAACAGUGUUAUAUCUCUUUUCCAAACCAGAAACAUGAAGACUGUUGGUGGGAACAAUUGCCUAACUUUAGGAAAGGCCAUCUUGACCCAAUUAAAUAGUCACAUGACUUGCUUAAUACUUCAGGGCUCCAGAUGUGAGAGAUGCCAAACAGUCCAAAUGUAAUUAAGAGUGUUUGACAGCCUGCUAAUCCUAGGGUGUUCCUGACUAAGCUGUAUUCAGCUGUUCUAGUUAGAAAAAUGGAAAAUUUGUGUGGAUUUAGAUAUUGGUGUUUCCCGAAGAAAUUCUGAAUUAUCUCAUUGGCAAGCAGCUUCCGGAAAGGUGGCUAUUGACUCUGACCACAGUGAACCCAAGAACUCAUGAUCCUCUGACCCAGAGGAAAAAAAAAAAAAAAAAAAAAAAAAAGAACUCACGUGAGAACUGAUUAGGUGGCAAGACAGCAGGAAAACUAGUUUUACAACCUAUCAGGUGGCUACAGGUUGGUCACAUAAUGUGGGGGAGCAGGAAAAAAUGUGGGGCUACCACGUUUCACAGGGGGCCAUCCGCGCAGAAUACACUGCGUGGGAACGGGUUCUGGUCCUUCACGCAGCUCUGCAGUCCCAGAAAAGGCCUAAUGCAGCUGGGGCACGAGGGCCCAUCACACCACGUGGAAGCUACAUCUGUUUGCCUUCCUUCUCGGCUUUCCGCGGCGUUGCAUAACCACUGACCUUGCCCAGAGAGAAAUGCAAAGGAGGUUUUAGAUUAUGUCAUUUAGUCCUUAGAACUAUCCUACCUCAUUAAAACCAUUGUCUUUACAGGCAAGAGAAACAUAGAUUUAGAGAAGUAGUAGCACUUGAGGUCACAAAGCUAAGUGAGCCUCACUCCAGGCUGCCCCACACCAAAUUCCAUGCUCUCGACCUAUAUGCUAGACUGCCUCCUUGGAACCAAGUACAAUAAGUGUUUGUUUAGUGUUCUAACCCUCAGGGAGCUCCAAACACUCAUGGACCUUGAAUCACCACCCUCUCCAUUAUGCAGAUAAGGACACAGGCAAAACAAUGUGUAAGUCC
Molecule: long non-coding RNA, 2963 nt
Filed under: Canis lupus familiaris (dog)
Lineage: Eukaryota; Metazoa; Chordata; Mammalia; Carnivora; Canidae
Description: lncRNA (ENSCAFG00000051603.1)
Source: RNAcentral